Molecule: ribosomal RNA, 218 nt
Filed under: Escherichia coli
Lineage: Bacteria; Pseudomonadati; Pseudomonadota; Gammaproteobacteria; Enterobacterales; Enterobacteriaceae
Description: partial 23S ribosomal RNA
Rfam family: Bacterial large subunit ribosomal RNA
Source: RNAcentral
AAAGAAAGCGUAAUAGCUCACUGGUCGAGUCGGCCUGCGCGGAAGAUGUAACGGGGCUAAACCAUGCACCGAAGCUGCGGCAGCGACGCUUAUGCGUUGUUGGGUAGGGGAGCGUUCUGUAAGCCUGCGAAGGUGUGCUGUGAGGCAUGCUGGAGGUAUCAGAAGUGCGAAUGCUGACAUAAGUAACGAUAAAGCGGGUGAAAAGCCCGCUCGCCGGA